GGGGGGAGGCCGGAUCUUGGGCUGUGUCACCCGUGCCUUGGGCUCCGGGGCCUGUGCCGCUGGAAUCACGCCCCCAGGGCCAUGCAGCCCCCU
RNAcentral lists this microRNA precursor (93 nucleotides) under Canis lupus familiaris (dog). Its description in RNAcentral is "mir-8799 microRNA precursor family". It matches the Rfam family "mir-8799 microRNA precursor family". Lineage: Eukaryota; Metazoa; Chordata; Mammalia; Carnivora; Canidae. The record is from Rfam by way of RNAcentral. RNAcentral also lists the same sequence under 1 other name.